Molecule: long non-coding RNA, 2320 nt
Organism: Serinus canaria (Common canary)
Lineage: Eukaryota; Metazoa; Chordata; Aves; Passeriformes; Fringillidae
Exons: 5
Source: RefSeq, a predicted model, not a curated record
UCCCUGUAAAGGGAACAUGUCACUUUGUAUCAGAGUGCCAAGGUGCACAGGGCAGAGCAGGUCCGGUGUGUAUCGUGUCACUUGUCUAUCGUGCGUUCUGUGUGUUUGGGUGUCUCAUGUCUUUUACCUUAGGCCUUUGAGGGGCCUAUCGGAAACCAGUCGUGCCAUCUGUGAUCUGCGUUCUUUAUCCUGGCACCAAUGCCAUAGAACUUUUGACUCGGGAGCUCAGACUGGCAUCAGAAUCGCAUCUGUCUUUAGAAGCAUCCAGUCAGAUGUCUUCUCAGGUCUUGUUCCGAGCUGUACGGAGAGCUGCACCCCACAAGGAUCCAUUACGGCAGAUUAGGACUUGUAAGAAUGCGAGCUUAGGCAGAGGAUUCUGACCUUAGGAUUCUCAGGCAUCCAUGUCUGCAGUUCUUGGAAUGCAUCACUCAGUUAGCAUCUUGUUCCUCCAGGGUUCUCUGAGCCUCAUCAGCUCUCCAUCAGUCCCACCUAGGUCAUUUCAUUUUGCAUUCCCUUGGUCCUUGCAGUCAUCUUCCUUGCCAGGAGAUUUGUGUCCGUGUCGCGUCCCCCUUGUUUGUCACGUCCUGUCUCGUGUCACGGGUGUCUGCACGCAUUUGUGCCGGAGCCGCUCUGCCCUGCCGCAUAGCCCGGUGCAGUAGGAGAAGUCCCGGGCCUUGAAGUUUAUAAUGUGGGUUGUUGUUGGGCUCUAGAUGGGAUUUGUAGAUGGACACAAGAUGUUUGCAGCUGUGAAGUUAUCCUGCAGCCCUUUGACUUUUUUCCUAACUUUGUUUCAGAUGCAGAAAGAUGAAAUCCAGGGCAGUGGGCCCCCUCUGGGGUGAGGGGGUCCGCCCAAGCAGGUCAGUCACUGUUUGUCUCUGCAGGGGAAUCAUAAAUGGUGGCUGUUACAGCACUGUUCUUUGUCUUUCUUUUUAGGAAGUCAAGGCAGAGAGCCGCACUGAAGACCAAGCACGUAAGGUGGUCCACUUGCCGUCUAUCCUGGCCGAGCAUGCCCGAUGUCAGGUGCUGUUGCCACUCCAGGCAUGCCUAAGAACAGAGGAGAGCAGGUAUCCUCUGGGCAGCCUCCGGAGUAGAAUCAGGAUUUGAGGUACCCUGAGGAGGUUUUCAGCCAAGGUUUGGAAACAGCAGCACCGAAGCACACACGGAGAACGUCUCGACGUCCACGUACAACCGACGAUGGAUUUUGUCCGCUCAUCUUACAAAAGCUAAGUGUCGGGGCCGAUAGUUGGGAGAAGGGGAAAAACCUUUCCUAUCACAGGGGGCAAUUUGAUGUCAGCUUAGCGGAGAGGUCUGUAGUGGGACAGGCUCUCUGGAAGUAAAGGGAGAGGGUUUCUCCUCGGCCUCACCAGAGCCUUUGCUGGGCAGGGCAGUUCCGACCCAUCUCCACAUUCUUGUGAACUUUGCAUCGUCAGCCUUCUUCGACUCGACAUCGUCACGGAUUUUUCACCCGAGGAGCUCACCUUCAGGUCCGGAGCUACGGCCACGGUCACCCGGCAGUCCUCUUCCUUCUCUAGGCCUACCGAGCCUCUCGAGCAUCCUCUUAACUCCUUGGGCACUAACUUCUUUUAACGAGUUAUAUUUCAUCCUCACGUGCUGUCGUCAUAGGGCUUUCUUUCCUUCGGCAUCAUCGGCCCCUGGCUCAUCUUGCGCUAGGAAUCUCGGGUCCAUAAGCCGAAAGUGCCAGGAGGUUUCCACUUGUCUCUGUGUUAUGUCGUCUGUGUCUGUGUUAUGUAGUCUGUGUCCACUGUCUUCCACGCCCUAGGCCUUUGUUCCACCUUGGCACUUUAUCGGCACAAUUUCGUGCCAUAUCGGCCGUAUUUUCCUCACGUUCCUUCGCUUAUUCUGGCACCUUUACAUCUUGACUCUUUGAGACAGGAAGGAUUACACAAGAUGUCCUCAUCCAUCUUCCUUCUCACUACCAGCUUUGGUAGUGCCUUUUUGUCCAUGCCAUUCUCUUGGAAUUCUAGAGGGAGUGUCUUACACCCUCCUCACGUGACUGCAGUAGUACUGUAGGUUCCAUCCUCUCAAAGGGUAUAGGGCUCCAGAAUUAAUCCUCCAGAGAGUUAUCUCAAGUCCUGGUUUAUACUGUAUCUACCACUAUUGGUUUAUAUUGGAUGUACUUAUAUUGUCUGUAAUUAUGUUGGCUUAUAUUGUGUGUACUUGUAUUGUGUGUACCCGCGCCGCCUUAUAUUGUGUGUACUUGUAUUGUGUAUACCUGCGUCGGCUUAUAUCGUGUGUACCUACAUUGUGUGUACCUGUGCCGCCUUACCUACAUUGUGUGUACCUGUGCCGCCUUACCUAU